RNAcentral lists this long non-coding RNA (1096 nucleotides) under Hordeum vulgare. RNAcentral's name for it is "long non-coding RNA (HVUL_LNC013405)". The record is from RNAcentral. Lineage: Eukaryota; Viridiplantae; Streptophyta; Magnoliopsida; Poales; Poaceae.
UGCCUACAACUUCUUAUUAUGUUCUCCGCUAAUAGAAACUUUGAAGUGAUUCUUUGUUGCAUGUUGAGAGGUGACCAUAUGAUUUUACUAUGUUAACAUUGUUGAGAGAUUACACUAGCGAAAGAAUGAACCCUAGGCCUUAGCUCCAAGAAUUUAUAUAAUGUUUUGCUUGAUGUUUACUAAAUAUUACCUUGCUAUUUUUAUUUAUUCAGAUUACAAAACCCCAUUUCUAUUAUCCAUACUACACUUGUAUCACCAUCUCUUUGUUGGUGAACAUUGCAUGUGAAACAAAAAAAUUCCUACGCACAUACAAGAUCUAUCCAUGGUGAUGACCUUCUACGAUUGGAGAGAUCGGAUCCACAUACCCUUAUAGAUCGCUAAGCGGAAAGCGUUAACAAAUGCGGUUGAUGUAGUUGAACGUCUUCGCGAUCCAAAUCACAAGCCUUCCCGCGAUCCAGUCACGAUCUAGCGUCGAACGGACGUCACCUCCGCGUUCUGCACACGUACAGCUCGAUGACGAUCUCCGCCUUCUUAAUCCAACAAGAGGGGCGGAGAGGUAGAUGAGUUCUCAGGCAACACGACAGCGUGAAGGCAGUGGUGGUGAACUAUUCCGAUAGGGCUUCGCCGAGCUCUACCGAACUAAUCUAGACGAAGAAAACGGUCUAUGGAGGAUAGCGCAACACGUGGCUUUUCAGGUGAUGGUGCCCUCAAAACCUCUACUACAUAUAGGAGAAAGGGUAGGUGGGCUUGCCUUGGUCCCUUCUUCAAGGAGGAGAGGUUCGGCCGAAGUAGGCUGGUGAAGCAACUACCUAUUCACACGUAGAAAUGGCCGCUACGCGCGUGGUAAAAAGAAAUUGCACGCGUCGCGCAUCUUUUGGAGAUGCUCUUACGAUGUCCAUCUCAUGCAAAACGUCCUCUCAGCCAUGAUGAGUUGAGCACGUUUAUAUAGAGUGCAUGAUAGGCCGUGGAUUCACCUCACUAUGUUCAUCCCAUGCAAAACGUCCUCUCAGCUAUGAUGAAUUGGGCAUGUUUAUAUAGGGUGCAUGAAGUCACACAUGCUUGCCCUUACCCUCAAAAGAUCUUCAAUAUUUUAAAU